Molecule: ribosomal RNA, 496 nt
Filed under: uncultured Acaulospora
Lineage: Eukaryota; Fungi; Glomeromycota; Glomeromycetes; Diversisporales; Acaulosporaceae
Description: SSU rRNA
Rfam family: Eukaryotic small subunit ribosomal RNA
Source: RNAcentral
AGCAGCCGCGGUAAUUCCAGCUCCAAUAGCGUAUAUUAAAGUUGUUGCAGUUAAAAAGCUCGUAGUUGAAUUUCGGAAUCUGUCCGUCGGUCGGGCUUCACUGUCUGUACUGGUGUGAUGGGUUUCUACCUUCUGAAUAACCGGCAUGUCAUUAAUUUGGUGCGCCGGGGAAGCAGAACUAUUACCUUGAAAAAUUAGAGUGCUUAAAGCAGGCUAUCGCCUGAAUAGAUUAGCAUGGAAUAAUAAAAUAGGACGGCAUGGUUCUAUUUUGUUGGUUUCUAGGAUCACCGUAAUGAUUAAUAGGGAUAGUUGGGGGCAUUAGUAUUCAAUUGUCAGAGGUGAAAUUCUUGGAUUUAUUGAAGACUAACUUCUGCGAAAGCAUUUGCCAAGGAUGUUUUCAUUAAUCAAGAACGAAAGUUAGGGGAUCGAAGACGAUCAGAUACCGUCGUAGUCUUAACCAUAAACUAUGCCGACUAGGGAUCGGACGAUGUUAAUU